AGUGAACGCUGGCGGUAGGCCUAACACAUGCAAGUCGAACGGCAGCACAGUAAGAGCUUGCUCUUACGGGUGGCGAGUGGCGGACGGGUGAGGAAUACAUCGGAAUCUACUUUUUCGUGGGGGAUAACGUAGGGAAACUUACGCUAAUACCGCAUACGACCUACGGGUGAAAGCAGGGGAUCUUCGGACCUUGCGCGAUUGAAUGAGCCGAUGUCGGAUUAGCUAGUUGGCGGGGUAAAGGCCCACCAAGGCGACGAUCCGUAGCUGGUCUGAGAGGAUGAUCAGCCACACUGGAACUGAGACACGGUCCAGACUCCGACGGGAGGCAGCAGGGGGGAAGAUUGGAAAAUGGGCGCAAGCCUGAUCCAGCCAUACCGCGUGGGUGAAGAAGGCCUGCGGGUUGUAAAGCCCUUUUGUUGGGAAAGAAAAGCAGCAGGUUAAUACCCCGCUGUUCGGACGGUACCCAAAGAAUAAGCACCGGCGAACUUCGG
This 491-nucleotide ribosomal RNA is filed under the name uncultured bacterium. RNAcentral describes it as "partial 16S ribosomal RNA". It matches the Rfam family "Bacterial small subunit ribosomal RNA", at positions 29 to 506 of the family's 1533-position model. The record is from RNAcentral.